RNAcentral lists this long non-coding RNA (493 nucleotides) under Danio rerio (zebrafish). RNAcentral's name for it is "lncRNA si:ch211-229o8.4 (ENSDARG00000096295.2)". The record is from RNAcentral. Lineage: Eukaryota; Metazoa; Chordata; Actinopteri; Cypriniformes; Danionidae.
CUGAGCAAACGAAUUACGGCUAAUUUACACACCCGUAAAACAAACACACAACCAAGGCUCCGCUGGGAGAAGCUGCGGCCUUAUCAGUUCACUCGACCCAGGACCCUGAUCCGCGCGGCAUAAGGAAAACAAACGUCCUUCUAAAGGACAAACAAAGGGGAGAGAGGGGGAACGAGAUGAUGACACACCAGAAUCAGAGGACAGAGCUGGAUAAUGACAGGAAAGCCUGUGAAUAUACUGAGACCAACUGUCAUGUAAAGACCUUGACCAUCGCAGCCACUGUUUGGAGGCGAUCUGGAGGCGAUUACACAAGAUUUGGAGGCACAUGACAAUGAUCAAGGAUUCAGGGAUGCUGUGCAGUCUGCAUCAUUGGGGAAGCAGUGCAAACAUUCUGCAUGCUCAGACACACAGGUGAAUAUGAAAACAUAGCCCAGCUGAGGCUGUGGUAGCACUAGUAUGUACAGUACUGUAUGUGUGGUGUGAAGGGGAUUGU